GAUAAACGCUGGCGGCGUGCUUCAGGCAUGCAAGUCGAACGGACAGUCCGGCUUCGGCCGAACUGUUAGUGGCGGACGGGUGAGUAACACGUAAGUAACCUGCCCGAAAGUGGGGAAUAACAAGCCGAAAGGCUUGCUAAUACCGCAUGUGAAGGCUCUUCCUCGGAUGGGCCUUGAAAGGUGUAAAUCGCUUUCGGAGGGGCUUGCGGUCGAUUAGCUAGUUGGUGGGGUAAUGGCCUACCAAGGCGACGAUCGAUAGCUGGUCUGAGAGGACGGUCAGCCACAAUGGCA
Molecule: ribosomal RNA, 291 nt
Filed under: uncultured bacterium
Lineage: Bacteria
Description: partial 16S ribosomal RNA
Rfam family: Bacterial small subunit ribosomal RNA
Source: RNAcentral